GAGGCUGAUGUGUAGGCAAAUCCGCACAUCGUAAGGCUGGGCUGUGAUGGGGAGGGAAAUUUUAAGUACCGAAGGUCAUGAGUUCACACUGCCAAGAAAAGCUUCUAGCCAGGCGAAGGUGCCCGUACCGCAAACCGACACAGGUGGGUGAGAAGAGAAUUCUAAGGCGCGCGGAAGAACUCUCGUUAAGGAACUCGGCAAAAUGACCCCGUAACUUCGGGAGAAGGGGUGCCUCGGUAGGGUGAAUAGCCCGAGGGGGCCGCAGUGAAAAGGCCCAAGCGACUGUUUAGCAAAAACACAGGUCUGUGCGAAGCCGCAAGGCGAAGUAUACGGGCUGACGCCUGCCCGGUGCUGGAAGGUUAAGAGGAGUGGUUAGGGACCUCGGUUCCGAAGCUAUGAAUUGAAGCCCCAGUAAACGGCGGCCGUAACUAUAACGGUCCUAAGGUAGCGAAAUUCCUUGUCAGGUAAAUUCUGACCCGCACGAAUGGCGUAACGACUUGGGCGCUGUCUCAACGAGAGAUCCGGUGAAAUUUUAAUACCUGUGAAGAUGCAGGUUACCCGCGACAAGACGGAAAGACCCCAUGGAGCUUUACUGCAGCUUGAUAUUGGACUUUGGUACGAUCUGUACAGGAUAGGUGGGAGCCUUUGAAGCCUGAGCGCCAGCUUGGGUGGAGGCGCCGUUGGGAUACCACCCUGAUCGUAUCGGAGUUCUAACCUGGUACCGUGAUCCGGUAUGGGGACAGUGUCAGGUGGGCAGUUUGACUGGGGCGGUCGCCUCCUAAAAUGUAACGGAGGCGUUUAAAGGUUCCCUCAGAAUGGUUGGAAAUCAUUCGCAGAGUGCAAAGGCAUAAGGGAGCUUGACUGCGAGACCUACAAGUCGAGCAGGGACGAAAGUCGGACUUAGUGAUCCGGUGGUACCGAAUGGAAGGGCCAUCGCUCAACGGAUAAAAGCUACCCUGGGGAUAACAGGCUUAUCUCCCCCAAGAGUCCACAUCGACGGGGAGGUUUGGCACCUCGAUGUCGGCUCAUCGCAUCCUGGGGCUGAAGUAGGUCCCAAGGGUUGGGCUGUUCGCCCAUUAAAGCGGUACGCGAGCUGGGUUCAGAACGUCGUGAGACAGUUCGGUCCCUAUCUGUCGCGGGCGUAGGAAAUUUGAGAGGAGCUGUCCUUAGUACGAGAGGACCGGGAUGGACGUACCGCUGGUGUACCAGUUGUCUCGCCAGAGGCAUCGCUGGGUAGCUAUGUACGGAGGGGAUAAGCGCUGAAAGCAUCUAAGCGCGAAGCCCCCCUCAAGAUGAGAUUUCCCAGUAUGUAAGACCCCUUGUAGACGACGAGGUUGAUAGGUUCGAGGUGGAAGUGCAGCAAUGCAUGCAGCUGACGAAUACUAAUCGGUCGAGGGCUUAACCAA
RNAcentral lists this ribosomal RNA (1406 nucleotides) under Paenibacillus chondroitinus. RNAcentral's name for it is "bacterial LSU rRNA". It matches the Rfam family "Bacterial large subunit ribosomal RNA", at positions 1521 to 2925 of the family's 2925-position model. The record is from RNAcentral. Lineage: Bacteria; Bacillati; Bacillota; Bacilli; Caryophanales; Paenibacillaceae.